AUUUCUCCUUUUGGAAAAAAAUCAUACAUUAAAGAAUUAAAGAUAAGCCUCCCAUAAACUGAACCCAUAGAAUACAAAUAAGCAAUUCCAUUCUGUUAGAUAUUUGAUGAAAAUUUGAGAAUUUUUAAAUCUAAACAAAAAUAUCUUUAUAAAUUUGUAAAAAUUUUUGUAAACAAAAGAUAUCUGUAAUGUAUUUUCUAUUGUCAAAAUAUUAAUAAAAUUCAUUUUAGUUUUUUUAUUGUAUUCUGUUUUUGCUCCAAACAAAUUAUAUAUAGCAGAAAAGAAUUUGGAGACUUUUGAGUACUUGUGCCAAUUUGAGAAGAAAUUAAAAAGUUUGUUAGCAAAAAAAUUUGUUGUAUUUAUGAAAUUUUUUUCUAAUCAUUCUCAUAGAGAAUGGAGCAUCUAUUGUUGACCAUUCUGUUUUGGAAAAUUGGCACAAAUAAUCAUCCUAGAUUUUCCUAUGGAUGCUCCUGUCAUAAUGUGGCACCUAUGUUUCUUAUGUUGGUAUUUCAUAUUGUAAUGUCAUCUAGAACAAACUAUUGUACAAUAAACAUGCAUCUGUCAAAGUGUGGUGGUCUUUCUAGACAAACUAGUUAUAGCUCAGGGAGAUAGUAGCUUUAUUAAAACAACUAUUUUAGUAUGAUUUAGACCAGCAGUCUCAAACUCAUUCUCUUAAAAGGAUCUCACUUCAGACAUCUUUUAAAAAAAUUGUCAUAAAAG
Molecule: long non-coding RNA, 720 nt
Filed under: Androctonus crassicauda
Lineage: Eukaryota; Metazoa; Arthropoda; Arachnida; Scorpiones; Buthidae
Source: RNAcentral